RNAcentral lists this ribosomal RNA (402 nucleotides) under Gastrotricha sp. MM00200. Its description in RNAcentral is "SSU rRNA". It matches the Rfam family "Eukaryotic small subunit ribosomal RNA", at positions 592 to 998 of the family's 1831-position model. Lineage: Eukaryota; Metazoa; Gastrotricha. The record is from RNAcentral.
CAAUAGCGUAUAUUAAAGUUGCUGCAGUUAAAAAGCUCGUAGUUGGAUCUCGGGCGUGAGCUACUGGUCUUGCUGCUGCAGGUCACUAGUAGUCUCGGCCUAACUGCCGAUUUUCCAUGGGUGCGCUUCAUUGCGUGUCCACGGUAAUCGGAACGUUACUUUGAAAAAAUCAGAGUGCUCAAAGCAGGCUUCAAUGCCUGAAUACUGUUGCAUGGAAUAAUGGAAUAGGAUCUCGGUUCUAUUUUGUUGGUUUUCGGAACUUGAGGUAAUGAUUAAGAGGGACAGACGGGGGCAUUCGUAUUGCGCCGUUAGAGGUGAAAUUCUUGGAUCGGCGCAAGACGAACAACUGCGAAAGCAUUUGCCAAGAAUGUUUUCAUUAAUCAAGAACGAAAGUCAGAGGUU